Hordeum vulgare subsp. vulgare (domesticated barley) is the source of this 211-nucleotide non-coding RNA. Lineage: Eukaryota; Viridiplantae; Streptophyta; Magnoliopsida; Poales; Poaceae. The record is from Rfam.
AGCGAUACUGACGUGCAAAUCGUUCGUCUGACUUGGGUAUAGGGGCGAAAGACUAAUCGAACCAUCUAGUAGCUGGUUCCCUCCGAAGUUUCCCUCAGGAUAGCUGGAGCCCAUUACGAGUUCUAUCAGGUAAAGCCAAUGAUUAGAGGCAUUGGGGACGCAACGUCCUCGACCUAUUCUCAAACUUUAAAUAGGUAGGAUGGCUCGGCUG